UACAGAGGUCUCGAGCGUUGUUCGGAUUCAUUGGGCGUAAAGGGUGCGUAGGUGGCGCUGUAAGUCAGGUGUGAAAUUUCGGAGCUUAACUCCGAAACUGCAUUUGAUACUGCGGUGCUUGAGGACUGGAGAGGGGACUGGAAUUUACGGUGUAGCGGUGAAAUGCGUAGAUAUCGUAAGGAAGACCAGUGGCGAAGGCGGGUCCCUGGACAGUUCCUGACGCUGAGGCACGAAGGUCAGGGGAGCAAACGGG
This 253-nucleotide ribosomal RNA is filed under the name uncultured bacterium. RNAcentral's name for it is "partial 16S ribosomal RNA". It matches the Rfam family "Bacterial small subunit ribosomal RNA", at positions 524 to 776 of the family's 1533-position model. The record is from RNAcentral.